Molecule: ribosomal RNA, 2890 nt
Filed under: Aeromonas veronii
Lineage: Bacteria; Pseudomonadati; Pseudomonadota; Gammaproteobacteria; Aeromonadales; Aeromonadaceae
Description: 23S ribosomal RNA
Rfam family: Bacterial large subunit ribosomal RNA
Source: RNAcentral
GGUUAAGUGACUAAGCGUACAUGGUGGAUGCCUUGGCAGUCAGAGGCGAUGAAGGACGUACUAACCUGCGAUAAGCUGUGAGAAGUCGGUAAGAGACGCUAUUACUCACAGAUUUCCGAAUGGGGAAACCCACCCGAGAUAACUCGGGUAUCUGUUACUGAAUACAUAGGUAACAGAGGCGAACCGGGAGAACUGAAACAUCUAAGUACCCCGAGGAAAAGAAAUCAACCGAGAUUCCCUCAGUAGCGGCGAGCGAACGGGGAUUAGCCCUUAAGCAUCUUGGAAGUUAGUGGAACGGUCCUGGAAAGGCCGGCGAUACAGGGUGAUAGCCCCGUACACGAAAACAACCUUGAUGUGAAAUCGAGUAGGGCGGGACACGUGACAUCCUGUCUGAAUAUGGGGGGACCAUCCUCCAAGGCUAAAUACUCCUGACUGACCGAUAGUGAACCAGUACCGUGAGGGAAAGGCGAAAAGAACCCCUGUGAGGGGAGUGAAAUAGAACCUGAAACCGUGUACGUACAAGCAGUGGGAGCCCUUCGGGGUGACUGCGUACCUUUUGUAUAAUGGGUCAGCGACUUACAUUUUGUAGCGAGGUUAACCGUAUAGGGGAGCCGUAGGGAAACCGAGUCUUAACUGGGCGUCUAGUUGCAAGGUGUAGACCCGAAACCGGGUGAUCUAGCCAUGGGCAGGUUGAAGGUUGAGUAACAUCAACUGGAGGACCGAACCCACUAACGUUGCAAAGUUAGGGGAUGACCUGUGGCUGGGGGUGAAAGGCCAAUCAAACUCGGAGAUAGCUGGUUCUCCCCGAAAGCUAUUUAGGUAGCGCCUCGGACGAAUACUACUGGGGGUAGAGCACUGUUUGGGCUAGGGGGUCAUCCCGACUUACCAACCCCAUGCAAACUCCGAAUACCAGUAAGUAAUAUCCGGGAGACACACGGCGGGUGCUAACGUCCGUCGUGAAGAGGGAAACAACCCAGACCGCCGGCUAAGGUCCCAAAGUUCUGGUUAAGUGGGAAACGAUGUGGGAAGGCUCAGACAGCUAGGAUGUUGGCUUAGAAGCAGCCAUCAUUUAAAGAAAGCGUAAUAGCUCACUAGUCGAGUCGGCCUGCGCGGAAGAUGUAACGGGGCUCAAACCAGGCACCGAAGCCGCGGAUUCACACUUAUGUGUGAGUGGUAGGGGAGCGUUCUGUAAGUCUGCGAAGGUGUAUCGAGAGGUAUGCUGGAGAUAUCAGAAGUGCGAAUGCUGACGUAAGUAACGAUAAAGGGGGUGAAAAGCCUCCUCGCCGGAAGACCAAGGGUUCCUGUCCAACGUUAAUCGGGGCAGGGUGAGUCGACCCCUAAGGCGAGGCCGAAAGGCGUAGUCGAUGGGAAGCAGGUUAAUAUUCCUGCACGACUUGUAAUUGCGAUGGGGGGACGGAGAAGGCUAGGUGGGCCAGGCGACGGUUGUCCUGGUGAAAGUGCGUAGGUGGUGUUUCUAGGCAAAUCCGGAGACACAACACUGAGACACGAGACGAACACACUACGGUGUGGAAGCCAUUGAUGCCCUGCUUCCAGGAAAAGCCUCUAAGCUUCAGAUUACAAGUCAUCGUACCCCAAACCGACACAGGUGGUCGGGUAGAGAAUACCAAGGCGCUUGAGAGAACUCGGGUGAAGGAACUAGGCAAAAUAGAACCGUAACUUCGGGAGAAGGUUCGCUCUUGAUGGUGAAGUCCCUUGCGGAUGGAGCUGUCGGGAGUCGCAGUGACCAGAUGGCUGGGACUGUUUAUCAAAAACACAGCACUCUGCAAACACGAAAGUGGACGUAUAGGGUGUGACACCUGCCCGGUGCCGGAAGGUUAAUUGAUGGGGUUAGCGCAAGCGAAGCUCUUGAUCGAAGCCCCGGUAAACGGCGGCCGUAACUAUAACGGUCCUAAGGUAGCGAAAUUCCUUGUCGGGUAAGUUCCGACCUGCACGAAUGGUGUAACCAUGGCCAUGCUGUCUCCACCCGAGACUCAGUGAAAUCGAAUUCGCCGUGAAGAUGCGGUGUACCCGCGGCUAGACGGAAAGACCCCGUGAACCUUUACUACAGCUUGGCACUGAACAUUGAACCUACAUGUGUAGGAUAGGUGGGAGGCUUUGAAGGCGUGACGCCAGUUGCGCUGGAGCCGUCCUUGAAAUACCACCCUUGUAUGUUUGAUGUUCUAACGCAGGGCCCUGAAUCGGGCUCGCGGACAGUGCCUGGUGGGUAGUUUGACUGGGGCGGUCUCCUCCCAAAGAGUAACGGAGGAGCACGAAGGUUGGCUAAUCCUGGUCGGACAUCAGGAGGUUAGUGCAAUGGCAUAAGCCAGCUUAACUGCGAGACGGACAGGUCGAGCAGGUACGAAAGUAGGUCAUAGUGAUCCGGUGGUUCUGAAUGGAAGGGCCAUCGCUCAACGGAUAAAAGGUACUCCGGGGAUAACAGGCUGAUACCGCCCAAGAGUUCAUAUCGACGGCGGUGUUUGGCACCUCGAUGUCGGCUCAUCACAUCCUGGGGCUGAAGUCGGUCCCAAGGGUAUGGCUGUUCGCCAUUUAAAGUGGUACGCGAGCUGGGUUCAGAACGUCGUGAGACAGUUCGGUCCCUAUCUGCCGUGGGCGUUGGAUGAUUGAAGGGAGUUGCUCCUAGUACGAGAGGACCGGAGUGAACGAACCUCUGGUGUUCGGGUUGUCACGCCAGUGGCACUGCCCGGUAGCUAAGUUCGGAAUCGAUAACCGCUGAAAGCAUCUAAGCGGGAAGCGAGCCCUGAGAUGAGUCAUCCCUGACCCCUUGAGGGUCCUAAAGGGCCGUUGGAGACCACAACGUUGAUAGGUGGGGUGUGUAAGCGCGGCGACGUGUUGAGCUAACCCAUACUAAUUACCCGUGAGGCUUAACCAU